This 477-nucleotide ribosomal RNA is filed under the name uncultured bacterium. RNAcentral's name for it is "bacterial SSU rRNA". It matches the Rfam family "Bacterial small subunit ribosomal RNA", at positions 365 to 832 of the family's 1533-position model. The record is from RNAcentral.
UUCGCAAUGCCCGAAAGGGUGACGAAGCGACGCCGCGUGUGGGAAGAAGGCCUUCGGGUUGUAAACCACUGUCGGGAGUUAAGAAAUGCAAGGAUAUGAAUAGUGUCUUUGCUUGACUAAGGCUCCGGAGGAAGCCACGGCUAACUCUGUGCCAGCAGCCGCGGUAAUACAGAGGCGGCAAGCGUUGUUCGGAAUUAUUGGGCGUAAAGAGCACGUAGGCGGCUAUGUAAGUCGGUUGUGAAAGCCUUCCGCUCAACGGAAGAACAGCAUCCGAUACUACAUGGCUUGAGUGCGGGAGGGGAGAGUGGAACUUCUGGUGGAGCGGUGAAAUGCGUAGAUAUCAGAAGGAACGCCGGCGGCGAAAGCGGCUCUCUGGCCCAUAACUGACGCUGAGUGUGCGAAAGCUAGGGGAGCAAACGGGAUUAGAUACCCCGGUAGUCCUGGCCGUAAACGAUGGGCACUAAGUAGAGGGGUUUU